This is a non-coding RNA of Microcebus murinus (gray mouse lemur), 656 nucleotides long. Lineage: Eukaryota; Metazoa; Chordata; Mammalia; Primates; Cheirogaleidae. The record is from the annotation of a RefSeq genome assembly.
AGCAGAUUUGCAUGAAGAGCCUCCCCUCCUGUGAUAAGCCAGCCCCGCAGGUCCCUCCCCAGCUGUGGGUCAGAGGCAGAGCUCCGGGUGUCACCAUGGCCUGGACCCCUCUCCUACUCCCCCUCCUCACGCUCUGCACAGGUUCUGUGGCCUCUCAGCCGAAUCAGGUGCCUGCAGUGUCUGUGGCCUUGGGACAGACGGCCAGCAUCACCUGCCAGGGAGAUGGCUUAAGGAGCUACUAUCCCGGUUGGUACCAGCAGAAGCCCGGCCAGGCUCCUGUGCUGGUCUUCUAUGGUAACAAUAAGCGGCCCUCAGGGAUCCCUGAGCGAUUCUCUGGCUCCAAAUCGGGGAACACGGCCAUGCUGACCAUCAGCGGGGCCCAGGCUGACGAUGAGGCUGAUUAUUACUGUCAGACAUGGGACAGCACUGGUACUCAUGCCACAGUGACACACGCAGAUGGGGAAGUUCAGGAGAGCAUGGGGAAGCCCAUGGCAGUGGGCACCGUGGUGGCCACGAGGAUCCCCUUCGGGCUCAUCCACCCACCCAUCCACCCGCACAGUGGGCUGGAGCCCUGGUGUAUCCCAGCUGCUCCCCCACUGGAAAAUGCCAUGAGCACAGGGCACUGCCCCUCCCAAUUGCACCCCUUCCUAGUGUGA